Molecule: ribosomal RNA, 253 nt
Filed under: uncultured bacterium
Lineage: Bacteria
Description: partial 16S ribosomal RNA
Rfam family: Bacterial small subunit ribosomal RNA
Source: RNAcentral
UACGUAGGGGGCUAGCGUUGUCCGGAAUCAUUGGGCGUAAAGAGCGUGUAGGCGGUCCGGUAAGUCCGCUGUGAAAGUCGGGGGCUCAACCCUCGAAUGCCGGUGGAUACUGUCGGGCUAGAGUGCGGAAGAGGCGAGUGGAAUUCCUGGUGUAGCGGUGGAAUGCGCAGAUAUCAGGAGGAACACCAAUAGCGAAGGCAGCUCGCUGGGACGGUACUGACGCUGAGGCGCGAAAGCGUGGGGAGCGAACAGG